RNAcentral lists this ribosomal RNA (521 nucleotides) under fungal sp. RNAcentral describes it as "eukaryotic LSU rRNA". The stretch from base 185 to 338 matches the Rfam family "5.8S ribosomal RNA". Lineage: Eukaryota; Fungi. The record is from RNAcentral.
GAGUUCCGUUGGGCGAACCUGCGGAGGGAUCAUUACCGAGUUUACAACUCCCAAACCCCUGUGAACAUACCUAUACGUUGCCUCGGCGGAUCAGCCCGCGCCCCGUAAAAAGGGACGGCCCGCCCGAGGACCCCUAAACUCUGUUUUUAGUGGAACUUCUGAGUAAAACAAACAAAUAAAUCAAAACUUUCAACAACGGAUCUCUUGGUUCUGGCAUCGAUGAAGAACGCAGCAAAAUGCGAUAAGUAAUGUGAAUUGCAGAAUUCAGUGAAUCAUCGAAUCUUUGAACGCACAUUGCGCCCGCCAGUAUUCUGGCGGGCAUGCCUGUUCGAGCGUCAUUUCAACCCUCAAGCUCAGCUUGGUGUUGGGACUCGCGGUAACCCGCGUUCCCCAAAUCGAUUGGCGGUCACGUCGAGCUUCCAUAGCGUAGUAAUCAUACACCUCGUUACUGGUAAUCGUCGCGGCCACGCCGUAAAACCCCAACUUCUGAAUGUGACCUCGAUCAGUAGAACCCAUUUCCC